This 401-nucleotide ribosomal RNA is filed under the name uncultured Sphingomonas sp. RNAcentral describes it as "bacterial SSU rRNA". It matches the Rfam family "Bacterial small subunit ribosomal RNA", at positions 355 to 775 of the family's 1533-position model. The record is from RNAcentral. Lineage: Bacteria; Pseudomonadati; Pseudomonadota; Alphaproteobacteria; Sphingomonadales; Sphingomonadaceae.
UGGGGAAUAUUGGACAAUGGGCGCAAGCCUGAUCCAGCAAUGCCGCGUGAGUGAUGAAGGCCCUAGGGUUGUAAAGCUCUUUUACCCGGGAUGAUAAUGACAGUACCGGGAGAAUAAGCUCCGGCUAACUCCGUGCCAGCAGCCGCGGUAAUACGGAGGGAGCUAGCGUUGUUCGGAAUUACUGGGCAUAAAGCGCACGUAGGCGGCUUUGUAAGUUAGAGGUGAAAGCCCGGGCGUCAACCCGCAGAUUGCCUUUAAAACUGCAUCGCUUGAAUCCGGAGAGGUGAGUGGAAUUCCGAGUGUAGAGGUGAAAUUCGUAGAUAUUCGGAAGAACACCAGUGGCGAAGGCGGCUCACUGGACCGGUAUUGACGCUGAGGUGCGAAAGCGUGGGAGCAAACGA